This 80-nucleotide unclassified non-coding RNA is filed under the name Pseudomonas lini. Lineage: Bacteria; Pseudomonadati; Pseudomonadota; Gammaproteobacteria; Pseudomonadales; Pseudomonadaceae. The record is from RNAcentral.
AAAGAUCGCAGCCUUCGGCAGCUCCUACAGGAUUGCGCACGACUGCGCUUUUGUAGGAGCUGCCGAAGGCUGCGAUCUUU